Long non-coding RNA from Homo sapiens (human), 962 nucleotides. The record is from Ensembl. NCBI's taxonomy places the organism in Eukaryota, Metazoa, Chordata, Mammalia, Primates, Hominidae.
AGACAGACUAUGAAGAGAUACAUAGGGUGAGAAACGGAGGCCUUCAGCCAACAGCUGGGAGAAGCUGAGUCCCAUCAGCCAUUCAAAAGACUGCAGCCCCAGCCAAGAGUUUGAUGUAACCUCAGGAGAGACCCUGAGCCAGAACCACCUAGGAGAUGAUGAGCUCCUGGGCAAGACUGAGGUUUGUGUCAUUUUGCAUCCCCAGCACCGAGAAGAGUACCUGGCACUUAUUGGUGCGCAGACAAUGUUUACUGCAUGAUUAGAAGGUUUAACUGGAAAAACCUACUAACCUCUGAAAAGCUGGGAUACAUGAAGACUGCCAUCCCUUGAGUCACUUGCCCUGUAGCUGCCACUGUUGGAAAAGGGCUUGCUUCUGUGUCCUUGUGCCCACUUUGAAAAUCCCUGGGAAGUCCUUGGAGUCAGAUGAGCAGGCCUCCGCCACUCUGCCAAAAAGUCUGUUCAGAAGUUUCACAUCACUAGAGAAGAGAGAAGAAGGACAUUUGUACUGGGAGGAGUCGACCGGUCCCAGUAAGGAGAAAGUAGCUACAGCGUCAUGGGUGAGCUGGGUCCCCCAAAAAGGAACUUUAAGGGAAUGGACUGAAUCAAGUCUGAGAUGUCCCCAAAGCAAGACCAAAGAACUGAGGAAGAGAAGCAUUCAUCAGAAACCAAAAUUCAGCUACAAGUGAGCAUCCAGAUGGAGGUAUUAUGAAGAGGAACUGAGACUGAGGGCAAAAGGUGCCAGCCAGAAUCCUGGAUAGGAGAGCAAGAACCAGGACCUCAUUUAAGAGACAACCUGCUUAAGGCAGAGUAAGGUGAGAUUGGAUUCACGCAAAGACCUGGAAUUCAAGUAGGUUAAUGAACAGACAGUGUGUGCCUAUACCACGAAUUUACAAUAAUAAUAAGGGUGCUAAUAAUCACAUGGAAUUGUAGAGUAUAAUGAAAAUAUACACACUGGAGAGAAA